GAUGAACGCUGGCGGCGUGCCUAAUACAUGCCAGUCGAGCGAACAGACGAGGAGCUUGCUCCUCUGACGUUAGCGGCGGACGGGUGAGUAACACGUGGAUAACCUACCUAUAAGACUGGGAUAACUUCGGGAAACCGGAGCUAAUACCGGCUCAUAUAUUGAACCGCAUGGUUCAAUAGUGAAAGACGGUUUUGCUGUCACUUAUAGAUGGAUCCGCGCCGCAUUAGCUAGUUGGUAAGGUAACGGCUUACCAAGGCAACGAUGCGUAGCCGACCUGAGAGGAUGAUCGGCCACACUGGAACUGAGACACGGUCCAGACUCCUACGGGAGGCAGCAGUAGGGAAUCUUCCGCAAUGGGCGAAAGCCUGACGGAGCAACGCCGCGUGAGUGAUGAAGGUCUUCGGAUCGUAAAACUCUGUUAUUAGGGAAGAACAAAUGUGUAAGUAACUAUGCACGUCUUGACGGUACCUAAUCAGAAAGCCACGGCUAACUACGUG
RNAcentral lists this ribosomal RNA (497 nucleotides) under uncultured bacterium. RNAcentral's name for it is "partial 16S ribosomal RNA". It matches the Rfam family "Bacterial small subunit ribosomal RNA", at positions 28 to 507 of the family's 1533-position model. The record is from RNAcentral.